This is a long non-coding RNA of Topomyia yanbarensis, 247 nucleotides long. RefSeq lists it as uncharacterized. The record is from RefSeq and is a predicted model, not a curated record. NCBI's taxonomy places the organism in Eukaryota, Metazoa, Arthropoda, Insecta, Diptera, Culicidae. The transcript is spliced from 3 exons.
CAACAACAGAAUAACAAUCGUCGGAAGCAACGAAACCAGCGUGACCAACGUGACCAACGGAACCAAGAUCGGGCACGUGGAAUUAGCCUGGAAACUCGUAUGGAAACGUUCGAGCGACUCGCUCGUCGUACAACUGCUCUCGGAAAGAGCGUACGACGAGCAAUUGAGGCAGAGCGGUUGCCCGGCCACCUCAUUUUGGGAUACAUGAACCGAUAUAAAAAUGUUUGUAAAAAUAUGGAUUAUGAGC